Molecule: non-coding RNA, 74 nt
Organism: Hippoglossus stenolepis (Pacific halibut)
Lineage: Eukaryota; Metazoa; Chordata; Actinopteri; Pleuronectiformes; Pleuronectidae
Source: the annotation of a RefSeq genome assembly
GAGGGUAUAGCUCAGUGGUAGAGCAUUUGACUGCAGAUCAAGAGGUCCUCAGUUCAAAUCUGGGUGCCCCUACA